GUGAAUCAUCGAAUUUUUGAACGCAAAUUGCGCUUCCUGGCAUCCCGGGGAGUAUGCCUGUUUGAGGGUCAGUAUUAAUAAAAAAUCGUGUUGGUGACAAAUUGUGAGGUUUCCGGAGGGUUGGCGAUCGUAACAUUUUUGGUUAAGAGGCUUAAAAUUGAGCUUGUUUUCUCAUUUUUGUACUUACAUGAAUUUUUUUUAGUCUUCUAUUCUGAAUGCCAAAUUCUUAUUUGAUGCUGUCAC
Molecule: unclassified non-coding RNA, 243 nt
Filed under: Glomeromycetes sp.
Lineage: Eukaryota; Fungi; Glomeromycota; Glomeromycetes
Description: partial contains 5.8S ribosomal RNA and internal transcribed spacer 2
Rfam family: 5.8S ribosomal RNA (bases 1-71)
Source: RNAcentral